GCAAUCAAAGAAAAGUACUCGCUUCGGCUUGGAACCAUAGAGAGAAAAUUAGCGUGUCCUCCGCGCGUGGUUGACACGUAAAAUCGUGAAGCGUUCCGCAUUUUU
Small nuclear RNA from Schistocerca nitens (vagrant locust), 105 nucleotides. The record is from RefSeq and is a predicted model, not a curated record. NCBI's taxonomy places the organism in Eukaryota, Metazoa, Arthropoda, Insecta, Orthoptera, Acrididae.